CCUACGGGAGGCAGCAGUGGGGAAUAUUGGACAAUGGGCGAAAGCCUGAUCCAGCAAUGCCGCGUGAGUGAUGAAGGCCUUAGGGUUGUAAAGCUCUUUUACCAGGGAUGAUAAUGACAGUACCUGGAGAAUAAGCUCCGGCUAACUCCGUGCCAGCAGCCGCGGUAAUACGGAGGGAGCUAGCGUUGUUCGGAAUUACUGGGCGUAAAGCGUACGUAGGCGGUUAUUCAAGUCAGAGGUGAAAGCCUGGAGCUCAACUCCAGAACUGCCUUUGAAACUAGAUAGCUAGAAUCUUGGAGAGGUGAGUGGAAUUCCGAGUGUAGAGGUGAAAUUCGUAGAUAUUCGGAAGAACACCAGUGGCGAAGGCGACUCACUGGACAAGUAUUGACGCUGAGGUACGAAAGCGUGGGGAGCAAACAGGAUUAGAUACCCUGGUAGUCCACGCCGUAAACGAUGAUAACUAGCUGUUCGGGCUCUACGAGCUUGAGUGGCGCAGACUACGACAUUAAGUUAGUCCGUCCGUCGGGAGGUACGGUCGCGAAGAAUUAAAACGUUAAAUUAAGUAAGUUAGUACGGUACGUGAGACGUAGACCGACGGACGACGACGAGGGAGGUUAGG
RNAcentral lists this ribosomal RNA (619 nucleotides) under uncultured bacterium. RNAcentral's name for it is "bacterial SSU rRNA". The stretch from base 1 to 520 matches the Rfam family "Bacterial small subunit ribosomal RNA", at positions 338 to 873 of the family's 1533-position model. The record is from RNAcentral.